GCGCAAGCCUGAUGCAGCCAUGCCGCGUGUGUGAAGAAGGCCUUCGGGUUGUAAAGCACUUUCAGUCGUGAGGAAGGUAGUGUAGUUAAUAGCUGCAUUAUUUGACGUUAGCGACAGAAGAAGCACCGGCUAACUCCGUGCCAGCAGCCGCGGUAAUACGGAGGGUGCGAGCGUUAAUCGGAAUUACUGGGCGUAAAGCGCAUGCAGGUGGUUUGUUAAGUCAGAUGUGAAAGCCCGGGGCUCAACCUCGGAAUAGCAUUUGAAACUGGCAGACUAGAGUACUGUAGAGGGGGGUAGAAUUUCAGGUGUAGCGGUGAAAUGCGUAGAGAUCUGAAGGAAUACCGGUGGCGAAGGCGGCCCCCUGGACAGAUACUGACACUCAGAUGCGAAAGCGUGGGGAGCAAACAGGAUUAGAUACCCUGGUAGUCCACGCCGUAAACGAUGUCUACUUGGAGGUUGUGGCCUUGAGCCGUGGCUUUCGGAGCUAACGCGUUAAGUAGACCGCCUG
This 508-nucleotide ribosomal RNA is filed under the name Vibrio sp. RNAcentral describes it as "bacterial SSU rRNA". It matches the Rfam family "Bacterial small subunit ribosomal RNA", at positions 375 to 875 of the family's 1533-position model. Lineage: Bacteria; Pseudomonadati; Pseudomonadota; Gammaproteobacteria; Vibrionales; Vibrionaceae. The record is from RNAcentral.